Molecule: unclassified non-coding RNA, 406 nt
Filed under: soil metagenome
Description: partial contains 5.8S ribosomal RNA, internal transcribed spacer 2, and large subunit ribosomal RNA
Rfam family: 5.8S ribosomal RNA (bases 1-121)
Source: RNAcentral
GAUGAAGAACGUAGCGAAAUGCGAUAAGUAAUGUGAAUUGCAGAAUUCAGUGAAUCAUCGAAUCUUUGAACGCACCUUGCGCCCUUUGGCCAUUCCGAAGGGCAUGCCUGUUUGAGUAUCAUGAACACCUCAACUCUUCAUGGUUUUCCAUGAUGAGCUUGGACUUUGGGGGUCUUGCUGGCCUGUGGGUCGGCUCCUCUCAAAUGAAUCAGCUUGCCGGAUUUUGGUGGGCAUCACAGGUGUGAUAACUAUCUACGCUUGUGGUUUUCCACCAGGGUAACCUUCAGCAGUGGAGGUUCACUGGAGCUUACAAAUGUCUCUCCUCUGUGAGGACAGCCCUUUGAAUGUUUGAUCUCAAAUCAGGUAGGACUACCCGCUGAACUUAAGCAUAUCAAUAAGCGGAGGA